UACGGGGGGGGCAAGCGUUGUUCGGAAUUACUGGGCGUAAAGGGCGCGUAGGCGGCCUUCUAAGUCGGACGUGAAAUCCCUCGGCUUAACCGAAGAACUGCGUCCGAGACUGAAAGGCUUGAAUCCGGGAGAGGGAUGUGGAAUUCCAGGUGUAGCGGUGAAAUGCGUAGAUAUCUGGAGGAACACCGGUGGCGAAGGCGGCAUCCUGGACCGGCAUUGACGCUGAGGCGCGAAAGCUAGGGGAGCAAACGGG
RNAcentral lists this ribosomal RNA (253 nucleotides) under uncultured bacterium. Its description in RNAcentral is "partial 16S ribosomal RNA". It matches the Rfam family "Bacterial small subunit ribosomal RNA", at positions 524 to 776 of the family's 1533-position model. The record is from RNAcentral.